UACGUAGGGUGCAAGCGUUGUCCGGAAUUAUUGGGCGUAAAGAGCGUGUAGGCGGCUCGAUUAGUCCGCUGUGAAAGUCCAGGGCUCAACCCUGGAAUGCCGGUGGAUACUGUCGAGCUAGAGUCCGGAAGGGGCGAGUGGAAUUCCUGGUGUAGCGGUGAAAUGCGCAGAUAUCAGGAAGAACACCUAUGGCGAAGGCAGCUCUCUGGGACGGUACUGACGCUGAGACGCGAAAGCGUGGGGAGCGAACAGG
RNAcentral lists this ribosomal RNA (253 nucleotides) under uncultured bacterium. RNAcentral's name for it is "partial 16S ribosomal RNA". It matches the Rfam family "Bacterial small subunit ribosomal RNA", at positions 524 to 776 of the family's 1533-position model. The record is from RNAcentral.